UACGUAGGGUGCGAGCGUUAAUCGGAAUUACUGGGCGUAAAGCGUGCGCAGGCGGUUUGUUAAGUCUGAUGUGAAAGCCCCGGGCUCAACCUGGGAAUGGCAUUGGAAACUGGCAGGCUCGAGUAUGGCAGAGGGGGGUGGAAUUCCGCGUGUAGCAGUGAAAUGCGUAGAGAUGCGGAGGAACACCGAUGGCGAAGGCAGCCCCCUGGGCCAAUACUGACGCUCAGGCACGAAAGCGUGGGGAGCAAACAGG
RNAcentral lists this ribosomal RNA (253 nucleotides) under uncultured bacterium. RNAcentral's name for it is "partial 16S ribosomal RNA". It matches the Rfam family "Bacterial small subunit ribosomal RNA", at positions 524 to 776 of the family's 1533-position model. The record is from RNAcentral.